RNAcentral lists this small RNA (82 nucleotides) under Polaribacter reichenbachii. Its description in RNAcentral is "Flavo-1 RNA". It matches the Rfam family "Flavo-1 RNA". Lineage: Bacteria; Pseudomonadati; Bacteroidota; Flavobacteriia; Flavobacteriales; Flavobacteriaceae. The record is from Rfam by way of RNAcentral.
CCUUAGCCCUGAUUGUAGCAAUUGUCUGAGCUCUUUUUGCCUUUUUCAGGCAAAAAAGCGAGUGCGAAAAGCAGGAAAUAGC